This 775-nucleotide ribosomal RNA is filed under the name uncultured Neocallimastigales. RNAcentral's name for it is "partial large subunit ribosomal RNA". It matches the Rfam family "Eukaryotic large subunit ribosomal RNA", at positions 24 to 635 of the family's 3401-position model. The record is from RNAcentral. Lineage: Eukaryota; Fungi; Neocallimastigomycota; Neocallimastigomycetes; Neocallimastigales.
UAUGUGAUCGUCUCUCGCAUAUCAAUAAGCGGAGGAAAAGAAACUAACAAGGAUUCCCCUAGUAACGGCGAGUGAAGCGGGAAGAGCUCAAAUUUGAAAUCUUAAAGGGUUUCCCUUUACGAAUUGUAGUUUAAAGAGGUGCUUUCUGUUGAGGUUUUGGUAAAAGUUCUUUGGAAUAGGACAUCAUAGAGGGUGAGAAUCUCGUAUUUGACCUUUACUUUCAACUUUGUGAUAGCACUUUCAAAGAGUCGGAUUGUUUGGGAAUGCAGUCCAAAAUGGGUGGUAAAUUUCAUCUAAAGCUAAAUAUUGGCGAGAGACCGAUAGCGAACAAGUACCGUGAGGGAAAGAUGAAAAGAACUUUGAAAAGAGAGUUAAACAGUACGUGAAAUUGUCAAAAGGGAAGCGUUUGACACCAGUGUUGUUUUUCUGAAAAUCAAUUAAAGAACUGUUUAUGCUAAGUUGUUUAGACUUUAUCAGCUAUCUGUUUAGUUUUGAGCUUUUCUUUAAUGCACUUUUCAGUUAACAAGUCAACAUCAAUUUCUUUUGCUGUAAAAAAGCUUGAGGAAGGUGGCUUGAGAUUCGUCUUAAGUGUUUAUAGCCUCUUGCCUAUGCAGUCGGAGAGAUUGAGGUCUGCAGCGUAGAUCCUUCGGGGCUAAAUGCAUUUGUGCUAAGUUAUAGCAUUUUAUAGACAACUUGUUGACUAUGAUUUGUCUUGUAGCUUACUCGCUUAUGUUAUUUUACCUACGCUUAGGAUGUUGAUCUACAGAGCGAGAGU